ACAUCCGCCCGGAUGUCAUCGUUGGCAGCGUGUUAGAGAGGGAGAGAGGGAGAGAGAGUUAGAGAGAGAAAGACACAGACAGACAGAGAGAAAAUCUUGUUUCUCUGUUGCCUUAGUAUAAUCCGUCUCAAGAAAAAGUGGUGGGCAGAGGCAGCUGGUUUUGAUCCCAAACCCAAAAGCCUCUCUCCAUCUCCCUCUCUCUCUCUCUCUCUCUCUCUCUCUCUCUCUUCAGUGCUCAAUUGCUCAUUUACAGUGGAGGAAGGAAGUGGAAUUGUGAUGAACAGAGGGUUUGGGAGUUGAGAAUAGAAGAGUUUGGGCAUCUGGGUUCAUAUUAUCCAUUGAUGGUAUGGCACAGAAUAAACCCAAGAGGCUAUACCAAGUCUGGAAAGGAAGCAAUAACUUUCUCUGUGGCGGAAGAUUAAUUUUUGGUCCUGAUGUGGCAUCUCUUCUUCUGUCCACACUUCUUGUUGCCGGCCCAGCAGUUGCCUUUUGUAUAAAGGUUUAUUUUAAAAUCAAACAUGGGAAGAAUACAGAUUAUCCUGUAUUAAUUGUUGGCUCAGUCCUUACUGUUUUGGUAAGUCU
Molecule: long non-coding RNA, 582 nt
Organism: Prunus dulcis (almond)
Lineage: Eukaryota; Viridiplantae; Streptophyta; Magnoliopsida; Rosales; Rosaceae
Exons: 3
Source: RefSeq, a predicted model, not a curated record